GGUUUGCUGGCUGUGCUGGCCUCAGAGGGAGCUCCUUUGGCGGCCGCAGAGGGAGCUGGCUGUUCUGUCUCUGCUCCCCCUCCCCUGCGCGCCGCUUAAUGAAACCGGGGCCGGAAUAUGACAUCAUAUUCCGGCCCCGGUCUCUUUGUAGCGUGCUGGGGAGGGGGAGCAGAGACAGAACAGCCAGCUCCCUCUGCGGCCGCCAAAGGAGCUCCCUCUGCGGCCAGAACAGCCAGCAAACCCUG
Molecule: non-coding RNA, 245 nt
Organism: Pelobates cultripes (western spadefoot toad)
Lineage: Eukaryota; Metazoa; Chordata; Amphibia; Anura; Pelobatidae
Source: the annotation of a GenBank genome assembly